Molecule: ribosomal RNA, 492 nt
Filed under: uncultured bacterium
Lineage: Bacteria
Description: partial 16S ribosomal RNA
Rfam family: Bacterial small subunit ribosomal RNA
Source: RNAcentral
AGUGAACGCUGGCGGUAGGCCUAACACAUGCAAGUCGAACGGCAGCACAGUAAGAGCUUGCUCUUACGGGUGGCGAGUGGCGGACGGGUGAGGAAUACAUCGGAAUCUACUUUUUCGUGGGGGAUAACGUAGGGAAACUUACGCUAAUACCGCAUACGACCUACGGGUGAAAGCAGGGGAUCUUCGGACCUUGCGCGAUUGAAUGAGCCGAUGUCGGAUUAGCUAGUUGGCGGGGUAAAGGCCCACCAAGGCGACGAUCCGUAGCUGGUCUGAGAGGAUGAUCAGCCACACUGGAACUGAGACACGGUCCAGACUCCUACGGGAGGCAGCAGUGGGGAAUAUUGGACAAUGGGCGCAAGCCUGAUCCAGCCAUACCGCGUGUGUGAAGAAGGCCUUCGGGUUGUAAAGCCCUUUUGUUGGGAAAGAAAAGCAUCAGUUUAAUACCCCGCUGUUCUGACGGUACCCAAAGAAUAAGCACCGGCUAACUUCGUG